AAGUCGUAACAAGGUUUCCGUAGGUGAACCUGCGGAAGGAUCAUUAACACGUAUCCAACGUUAAAAACACCCCUGUGAACCCGUUAAACUUGCUCCUCAGGCCCUGCACGCCUAGCAAUCCCUGGUAAAUCAUUGUCUGACCAGAUUUUGAGUCAGGGACUUCUGACGUGACGCGAAGAAUGUCUGGAAAAAUGGCAUCUGCGUGAGAUGAAGCUAUGAGGUAAGAUGCACUUGUGCUCCCCAAGUACCCAUGUUUCUGAAAGCGGGACAUGGAAUACGUAAGGAGCGACGCUGUAACGUUUGCUCUAGGCCCACACGGCCGGCGACCGGGUCCCUGAGCUCUGCUCCCUAAUAACCUUUGCAUGAAAACGGGCCUGCGCUUAAUUGUGCGGCCACCAAACUCGAACAACUGUUAACAAUGGAUAUCUUGGUUCUC
This 436-nucleotide unclassified non-coding RNA is filed under the name fungal sp. Its description in RNAcentral is "partial internal transcribed spacer region". The stretch from base 1 to 46 matches the Rfam family "Eukaryotic small subunit ribosomal RNA", at positions 1786 to 1831 of the family's 1831-position model. The record is from RNAcentral. Lineage: Eukaryota; Fungi.